GGGACCAAAAAAAAUAUAAGAUCACUUGUGCCGCUCUCUCCUUCAUCCUCCCUGACCAUGGAAUGGCCACUAGUAGAGAAAAUCUGGUGAAGAAAGGCUGACAACGGUGCUUAAGAGAAAGUGGAGGAGUAGAAGAGGAUUUGCAAGCAACGACGGCGAUGGGCAGGUGAGAAAGGAUUAGAGUUAAAAGAAAAAAAAAAGGUGCAUAACAGUUCUAUAGGUUUUUGGUGCAUA
Molecule: long non-coding RNA, 234 nt
Filed under: Elaeis guineensis (African oil palm)
Lineage: Eukaryota; Viridiplantae; Streptophyta; Magnoliopsida; Arecales; Arecaceae
Description: long non-coding RNA (EGUI_LNC037366)
Source: RNAcentral